AGAGUUUGAUCAUGGCUCAGAAUCAACGCUGGCGGCGUGCCUCAGACAUGCAAGUCGAACGCGAAAGUCCCCUUCGGGGGACAAGUAGAGUGGCGCACGGGUGAGUAACACGUAGGUAAUCUACCUUCGGGUGGGGAAUAACAACCGGGAACGGUUGCUAAUACCGCAUAAUGCAGCGGCACCUAAUGGUGACAGUUGUUAAAGCGGGGGAUCGAAAGAUCUCGCGCCUGAAGAGGAGCCUGCGGCGGAUUAGCUAGUUGGUAGGGUAACGGCCUACCAAGGCGACGAUCCGUAGCCGGCCUGAGAGGGCGGUCGGCCACACUGACACUGACAUACGGGUCAGACUCCUACGGGAGGCAGCAGUCGGGAAUUUUGGGCAAUGGGCGAAAGCCUGACCCAGCAACGCCGCGUGAAGGAUGAAAUCCCUCGGGAUGUAAACUUCGCAAGAACGGGAAGAAUAAGUCUAUGUUAAUACCAUAGGCGAUGACGGUACCGUUUGUAAGCUCCGGCUAACUCCGUGCCAGCCGCGGCGGUAAUUC
RNAcentral lists this ribosomal RNA (539 nucleotides) under uncultured bacterium. RNAcentral's name for it is "bacterial SSU rRNA". It matches the Rfam family "Bacterial small subunit ribosomal RNA", at positions 8 to 526 of the family's 1533-position model. The record is from RNAcentral.